UAGCUAACGCUACCUAACACUUUAUGUCGCGUUUGUUUAUUCCGCGCAGCUGAAAUAAAUUGACCUAAAAUACGCUAGCUUAACUGCUUCGUGGCUCAUAACUUCAUAUUAAAUGGACAUGAGAGUGCUACAUGGAUGAAAGAGAAGGAAUGGUGUCGAUCUUCUCAACUAGCGUUAGUUAGUUAGCUAGAUAACUAGCUAAUCAGCUAGCUAACCUAACUCUCGGCAGCUAACUAACGCUAAGCUAAUAUAUUAGCGUAUUACCAAAAAUGUCGAGUUCUUCCUAAAAUAAAUAGCUAACGUUAGCUAUAGAGUUUUAGAAUAUCCCAUCUUUUCUGUUGACUGUCCAAACAAGAGGACAGUGUUGCUCUAAAAACACCAGACUCUGCAGCCAUGUUGGGAUCAACAGCUCUCAAUUCCCUGGGCCUUGCUGUUAACUCUCAUCCUGCUUCCAGGACGGAAUCAUUUUUUCAUCGGGAUCUUGGUUAAAAAAGCCAACAGUGACAAACUCCACACUCAGAGGACCGAGGCUGACCGGGGAGCGAACACUGGACCUUUUUGCUGUGAGGCAACAGUGCUCUCCACCCAGUGAGUUUGCUAUCUUGUACCACCGUUCAACCCAACCAUCUCCAUAAGAUUUCUUUGUGGUUAAAGAACGUAGCACUUCCAGGACUGAAAAUGAUAUUUAGCAUAACUCAUGCAACAGUUGCUUUUCCUCCUAAAUGUAUCAGGCCAAACCAUUUAGUAGUAUAUGAAUGUCAUUUUUAGGAGACAGCUUUGUGUCAGUUCUGCCUUUUUCUAUACAUACCUGAUUGAUUCCAAACAAGGUCAGCACAAAUGACAAUUUAGUAAUUUGAAGAAGAAAAAAACACCCGUUAGGAAAACAAUUGUUUUUUUCAAUCCCACCUCCAUGGUCAACGUCUAGUCUUUUUUUUUUUUAUCACUUUGGGGUAAGAUCGUGGUCAUUGAUAAAAGAGAACAAAGUGGACUGUAGGGAGGAGACGGGAAGGUUGGAUGCUGGAAUGUAGUCAAUGAACGACAACAACACAGGCAAACUGCACAAGCAUCGUUAAAUAGUCGUCGUGUGAUUAAAAUCGCCACCGUAGUCCCAUGUCACAGUCACAUGUCACAGUCACAUGUUACAGUCACAUGUUUAAAAUGAGCACCGUGCGGCUGCAUUGCGGCGUUAAAUAGAACUCUCAUAUGUUGAUUUGGGGGUCAUUGGCAAUCAACCUAUUUUUUGUUAGUUAGUUUUUUUGUUUAUUUAUUUUUGAUUUAAAUGAAUGAAACCCUGCAAACUAUUCACAGACGUACAUAUGCUUUAACUAUUGAUAACUUUCAAAUCCAUAACUUAUUAGGACCAUACAUCGCUUGUGUCUGUGUCAGUACAUGAUAAUCUCAAUUUCUCUCACCAGGGCCCACCUUCUCCUCCACACACUGUCUUGUCAGCUGCUCAUAUUGUUUGCCUUCUUCUAAAAUAUUAGAAACACCCAAACCAAUCAGAAAACACACAAAAGGACUGCAUACAUUGGUGUACCUCCAUUAUUUCUGAGACCAGGAAAUGCAGAAGGCGAGUCUCAUCCGGAUAUUCCGUCCCAUAGUCGAGCGAUCGUUUCAACCCCGUGAAAUUUGUUCAUGUUUGGUGUGCUUGACAAAGUGCGGUGUGUGCACCUGUAGCAAACACUGGUUGUUUCAAGAGUUUGAACUAACAACCGGUGUUUUAGUUUUCCGUAGAGGACAGUGGACCCUACCUUGCACCCGGCGCGUCUCUUUGCAAUUUUAAGAUCAACGCAGUUGUUAAUUUCCCGUCCUGCGCCCAAGUCGUUUAAAUAGUAAAUACACAUCUGUGUGCCCAUGGGCGUGCUGGUCUUACAGGGAGGUGUGUUCAGAUGCAUUCUUGGUGUAUUGCUAUCUUGAGGCAGAGGGAAGUGAUUGCGCCAUUGACCAAAAAAACCCCGGUCGGAAGUCAAUAGCGCAGCAUUUCAUUAUUUUAACAGCGCAUCAGUAAAAUGCGCCUAGGCUUAUGAACAGCGCUCGCACACUAUACUUGUUACACACACACACACAAGGAAGCGCAGCAGCAAAAACACAAAAAGAUUACAUAUAAAAAUAUGGCUAUGCAAAUCCGCCAUCAUAACAGCAAUGCGCCAAGGUACAAACGCAUCUGGCUUUGAAAGGGAAUGGGAGAUGACACUCUGAUUGAUUUAUUACAUUUUACGCCCCAAAACACACCUAUGAUUAAUUGAGACUCUAAGUACAACCUUUUUGAAUCAUGCGGCCAACGCAUGGACCCUUUUCUCUGCCGUUAAACUAGCAAAAGUGGAUUUGGACACGCCCUAAGUCACCGCCGUGCACUCAUUUAAAUGGGCCCAGUGUGUCUGAGGUCACAAGCAGUAAUUUCUUGUACUUUACUUUUGUGAUAAAACCUUCUUGCAUAUGCAAAAUCCCUGAGUGUAUUGAAUUGAGCCAGUGUGUUUAAUUGCUUAGGAAUGUAAAAUAAUUUUUUCUUCUUUCAGAAGUUCCAUAUUCUCAUUUAAAAAAUUUCAUUUGCUAAAUGAGCCGACUCUAAACCAUUGUUUAUUGAUGUUCUUGUCAGCUUCCACAUGCUUGGCAGUGUGCAGAUACCUUUUAUUUUUCUGGCGGUUAAGGUAAAGUUUUUACAACAGGUUACUUAAAUGCAACAUUCUUCAACACCAGAAGAAGUUUACCUGAUGAACAAAUUAAACAUUUGUGUGACUAUAAAGCCUUCUGAAACACUUACAAUACAUUUCACAAACCUUAAAGGAAGCUGUUCAGUACAUAUCUGAAGUUCUACCUAAAGUAAAAAAUAUUUGGCACACAGCUGUUUUUGCUAAUGUGUACGAGGGAGGAGGCGGGGGAGGAUGAUGGCAGGGCGUCGGGGUGUUUCUGAGGAUAUGCAGGUGCAUAGCGAACGUGACAGAAAGGUACGCAGCCCGAAAACAGACAGAAUGCGGAAUGAAACACGGGGAGAAAAGAUAAAGAGGAAUAAGGAAAUCAUUGAGCGUGACUCGUAAGUGGGAGUCGCGGGGCUCGGCAUAAAUCGUCGUAGAUUACGGAGACUGUGGAGAUCUUUUGACUUGUGUUCCUCCUCUUCCUGCCUUCUGUUUGACAUAAGAGUGAAUGAGGUAAUCCACUGUGCUCAGGGGUACACAGGCUCUGCUCCCAUCCGGGCUUUGAACCUUUUGCUCACCUCAUGCUCGGUCUCUGGUGUGUCGUGGUAUAGUGGAGCAUGUCAGACAAAGAAAUUAAAGAUGGCAGUUUACAGGGAAACACUCGGCUCUUUGGGUAACGCGUCUCUAAGAAGAACCUGACAAAUUGAUUUAAAAGGAUGAAAUACAUUCCCCAACCCACAAACGUUUUUUUCCCCUCACCUUUUAAAAUGUAUUUACCUCCCUGUCUGUUCCCGUUUUGGCACUUUGGGAACAAGUGCAUACUUUGUGCACUUUUGUGCCUGUUUGCUUGGUUGCAUUUAUGUUCUCAUUCAUUUUUCAUACUCUUAAUAGCACUUCCUUGCAGCUAUUGCUAUCAAUCUGGGGGGUUGUUUGCAUGUGAGAUUAUAUACGUGAGUGCAUACGAUAUGUGUGUGUUUUGAAAGUGCUCUGCUCAACUGUUCUUUUGUUGAUCACAGCUGUCCCACAUUAGGGAUCAGCUGCUAUUCCCCAGGCAGUAAAGGGUUUUCAGAGGCCCUGCUAAUUGGCUGUAAUCUCCUUUUUAAACUUGAAAGCCAGCGAGCCUCCAGCUUCGCAGUUUACAAGCAAUUAAUGCAAGGAACACCAAUAUUGCUGGUCACGACUGGUGUAUAUCUGUUCCCUCUUCCUGCGGCUCCCUCCUAUCUGAUCUCACGUCCGUCUCAGAGGCGAAUUGACUCCUCCUGCUUCUCGGGCCCUGGUGUAAACAGCUACUCAGUAGUUGGGCCUUCUGGGGAAGAGGCGCGGCGGAGGGAUUUGGUCUGAGUCUUGAAGUGUCCGUGGGGAUGAUGGCAGGGUUUGGGGAUCGGAAGGGUUCCUUCUUAGGCGCUGAUGAAAUAAUAAUGCAUGGAGUUGGCGAGGCUGAAAUUUGCACAUGAAAAUCCUCUCCCUUCGCGCUCCUUGCAUCUAAUGUGCCGCCGAUGACAAUCCCUGCCUCUCACAGUUUAUAUGCAAAUGAGUUCUCUCAGCUUCCUCCUCCUCCUCAGAGAGUCGCCCAGCCGAGCUAGUGAGAGCCAGAUAGACAGAGAUAUAAAGUGAAGGAGACAGAGUGGGGCUUUUUUGUUGUGUUUUGUUUGUGUUUGUCUUGUUUAUUUUUAAAAGGAUUUUAAAAGAUGAUAAUAUAUUUUAAUUUUUCCCUUUGUUUUUUUCAAUUUUUUUCCCCUGAAAGGCAAU
Etheostoma spectabile (orangethroat darter) is the source of this 4382-nucleotide long non-coding RNA. RefSeq lists it as uncharacterized. Lineage: Eukaryota; Metazoa; Chordata; Actinopteri; Perciformes; Percidae. The record is from RefSeq and is a predicted model, not a curated record. The transcript has 5 exons.